GAUGAAGAACGCAGUGAAAUGCGAUAAGUAAUGUGAAUUGCAGAAUUCAGUGAAUCAUCGAAUCUUUGAACGCACCUUGCACCCUUUGGCAUUCUGAAGGGUAUGCUCGUUUGAGUGUCAUUGUACUCUCACACUCCCGAUCUUUGCAUUGGGAGCAGUGGACUUGGGUUUGCUGCUUCACCGUCGCUUACCUCAAAUAGGUUAGUGCAACUCUUGGUUGGACAUAGUACGGCGUGAUAAGUGUUCUUCGCCGGUGCCUCGCAAAGAGGGUGGCCGCUCGGGAUGUUGUGCUCCAAACCGUCUUCGGACAAUCUCUGACGACUUGACCUCAAAUCGAGUAAGACUACCCGCUGAACUUAAGCAUAUCAAUAAGCGGAGGA
RNAcentral lists this unclassified non-coding RNA (380 nucleotides) under soil metagenome. Its description in RNAcentral is "partial contains 5.8S ribosomal RNA, internal transcribed spacer 2, and large subunit ribosomal RNA". The stretch from base 1 to 120 matches the Rfam family "5.8S ribosomal RNA", at positions 35 to 154 of the family's 154-position model. The record is from RNAcentral.